UNGAUCUAUGGAGCCAAGAACCUAGCCUU
Molecule: non-coding RNA, 29 nt
Filed under: Mus musculus (house mouse)
Lineage: Eukaryota; Metazoa; Chordata; Mammalia; Rodentia; Muridae
Source: RNAcentral